This 71-nucleotide transfer RNA is filed under the name Loxodonta africana (African savanna elephant). It matches the Rfam family "tRNA". Rfam says of the family: Transfer RNA (tRNA) molecules are approximately 80 nucleotides in length. Their secondary structure includes four short double-helical elements and three loops (D, anti-codon, and T loops). The record is from Rfam by way of RNAcentral. Lineage: Eukaryota; Metazoa; Chordata; Mammalia; Proboscidea; Elephantidae.
GCAAUGGUGGUUCAAUGGUAGAAUGCUCACCUUCCAUGCUGGAGACCUGGGUUUGACUCCUGACCAAUGCA